Molecule: ribosomal RNA, 253 nt
Filed under: uncultured bacterium
Lineage: Bacteria
Description: partial 16S ribosomal RNA
Rfam family: Bacterial small subunit ribosomal RNA
Source: RNAcentral
UACGUAGGGACCAAGCGUUGUCCGGAAUCAUUGGGCGUAAAGCGCGCGUAGGUGGCCAUUUAAGUCCGCUGUGAAAGUCAGAGGCUCAACCUUUGAAAGCCGGUGGAUACUGGAUGGCUAGAGUACGGAAGAGGCGAGUGGAAUUCCUGGUGUAGCGGUGGAAUGCGCAGAUAUCAGGAGGAACACCAAUAGCGAAGGCAGCUCGCUGGGACGUUACUGACACUAAGGCGCGAAAGCGUGGGGAGCGAACAGG